This 223-nucleotide long non-coding RNA is filed under the name Manihot esculenta (cassava). RNAcentral describes it as "long non-coding RNA (MESC_LNC005863)". Lineage: Eukaryota; Viridiplantae; Streptophyta; Magnoliopsida; Malpighiales; Euphorbiaceae. The record is from RNAcentral.
GCUCGCAUAAAUAGAUAAUCAAGUAAACAAUUACAAGCUAAUAGAUGUAAACAUGUUAACAUUCACCAAUAAGUUCACAAAAUCAAGUAUCAAUCUUAAUUAAGAUCUUAGCCCUUAUAACCACAUAGUAGGAUCGACUAGGUAGAUAAGGAGUUAUAACGGUAGGCACAGGGUGCCGAACGGUAGGCUCCGAGGCCAAAACUGUGAUAGCAGGGCUCUGUGG